UAGGAGACAAGCGUUGUCCGGAUUUACUGGGCGUAAAGAGCGCGCAGGCGGUCGUUCAAGUCGAGUGUGAAAGCCCCCGGCUCAACUGGGGAGGGUCACUCGAUACUGAUCGACUCGAAGGCAGGAGAGGGAAGUGGAAUUCCCGGUGUAGUGGUGAAAUGCGUAGAUAUCGGGAGGAACACCAGUGGCGAAGGCGACUUCCUGGCCUGUUCUUGACGCUGAGGCGCGAAAGCUAGGGGAGCAAACGGG
Molecule: ribosomal RNA, 249 nt
Filed under: uncultured bacterium
Lineage: Bacteria
Description: partial 16S ribosomal RNA
Rfam family: Bacterial small subunit ribosomal RNA
Source: RNAcentral